Molecule: small nuclear RNA, 108 nt
Organism: Cebus imitator (Panamanian white-faced capuchin)
Lineage: Eukaryota; Metazoa; Chordata; Mammalia; Primates; Cebidae
Source: RefSeq, a predicted model, not a curated record
GUGCUCACUUUGGCAGCACAUACACUAAAAUUGAAAUGAUACAGGGAAGAUUAACAAUGGCUCUUGUGCAAGGAUGACAUGCAAUUCUGUGAUGCAUUUCAUAUUUCU